Long non-coding RNA from Hevea brasiliensis (rubber tree), 1000 nucleotides. RefSeq lists it as uncharacterized. Lineage: Eukaryota; Viridiplantae; Streptophyta; Magnoliopsida; Malpighiales; Euphorbiaceae. The transcript has 2 exons. The record is from RefSeq and is a predicted model, not a curated record.
GUUUUUCUCCCUUUAAUGGUGUAUCUUUUUCCGAACUACACAUUGGCUAUGAGCAGUAUCCAGAAAAUUUCUAAGGGGAGGGAAGUAAGUAUUUCCAUCAGCUGACUUGUCAAACAUUUAGAGCAUUUUGUUUUCUUUCUUUCCUCCCCAUAAGAAACUAUGGGUUCUUCCUCUCUUUUCCUUUGAAAUGAACUGAUGUUAAUGUGAUGUCAUAGUCAGUAUAAGUAUACCUUUCAAAAAUGGUCUUGUUCCCAUUGAGUUGAUGUUUUUCUCUUUUAAUUGGCUAGGUUUUGUUUAUAAUUGGUCCCUAGUCUCUCACAAAACCACAUUACAUGCUCAUUUCUUCAAGUUUUCUGAUUAGCCAAAUAUGUAAUUUCAUGAAUGCAUAUGAUUAAGCUGCUUGUGAAGUUCAAGUUUUGAAAAUAUAAAGUUGCAGGCGUGAUUGGAAAUUAACAUUUGUUAGGUAAAGUGAUAUUUGGGCAUUUCAUUUUGUUCACUUCCUCAAUCCUGGAUUUCUUAAAUCAGCUUUUAAGUUACAAUGAAUUUUACAGCUGAAAAAGUGUAUAAAUGAGUUUAGCUUCUGUUGUAGGGUAGGCUAUUGCUGAACAUCUAUCUGGUUGUUUUUGUCAGCCGUUUAAUGCAGUGGCUAUUUUACCAUAAACGCAUUGAACUAUAGAUACAUGAAAUAGCCGUUCCCUCUAAGAGCAGCUGUUUUUUUGGUCUUGGCUCAUUAUCAACUCACACGUCUAUCAAGUCGACCUUUCUCAUGUAUGUCACGGCUUCAUGCUUUCAACUUGAAUAUUGUUGGUGCACUGGUUUUCUGGCAUAGGUUGCACUCCAUCCAAAGGGUUAGAUAUGGUAGAAAACAAAGAGUUUAGAAGAAAAGCAUUAAUUCAAGGAAGAAAUCUGAAUGUGAGGUCCUUGCGAAGAGUGUGUUCAUUAUGUCUCACAGUAUUCUGCAAACCCUGAAGAAAACUGUUUCAAGCAUCUUUACUUACAA